ACAGAAAUCAAUCUGCCGCCGCUCUCCUUCAUUCCUUCAUCUUCUUUGUUGCUACCAUGAACAACAAUGAACAAUCACUCUGUUCCUCUCUUUGUUUAUUAUCACGUAUCUCCCCUUCGUAGUUGUCACUACCAAAAUUAUGAUACUUCAAAAUACAAGGUUCAUUUUGAAAUCUGACCCAACCCCAAUCGAUCUGUAAACAAUAUCGUCUCAAUACUUGAAGAAAGACGACUUACUAGUGUUUGUUUGAAAGCCACCCAUGUCAUCUUCAUACCCUUAAGGAGUAUCACUGGAGUUUCAAAGGCAAUUGGAGCAAAAAGUGUUUGAGAUGGAUCUUGUUGGUUAUGGAUAAUUAUAGCAUAAUAAAGGAGGAAAUUGCUUUGUCUUGUAUCCGCUUCAAGUCUAUUAAAUAUCAAUAUAGAAAUUGAAGGAAAAAAAUUGAAAAGAUUAUAAUCAAGAAAUAGAAGACAAAUUUGCCUCAGCUGUGGAGAAAGCAUCACCAUAACACAAAUAUGAACAUAUGUGGACUUUUGGACAAACAUAAAUUGUGUUAUUUACUCUG
Vicia villosa (hairy vetch) is the source of this 562-nucleotide long non-coding RNA. RefSeq lists it as uncharacterized. The record is from RefSeq and is a predicted model, not a curated record. The transcript is spliced from 4 exons. Lineage: Eukaryota; Viridiplantae; Streptophyta; Magnoliopsida; Fabales; Fabaceae.